GCCGGGCGCGGUGGCUCACGCCUGUAAUCCCAGCACUUUGGGAGGCCGAGACGGGCGGAUCACGAGGUCAGGAGAUCGAGACCAUCCUGGCUCAGCCAGGAUGGUCUCGAUCUCCUGACCUCGUGAUCCGCCCGUCUCGG
This 140-nucleotide signal recognition particle RNA is filed under the name Chlorocebus sabaeus (green monkey). RNAcentral describes it as "Metazoan signal recognition particle RNA". The stretch from base 46 to 140 matches the Rfam family "MIR1846 microRNA precursor family", at positions 1 to 86 of the family's 110-position model. The record is from Rfam by way of RNAcentral. Lineage: Eukaryota; Metazoa; Chordata; Mammalia; Primates; Cercopithecidae.